Molecule: long non-coding RNA, 1038 nt
Filed under: Eutrema salsugineum
Lineage: Eukaryota; Viridiplantae; Streptophyta; Magnoliopsida; Brassicales; Brassicaceae
Description: long non-coding RNA (ESAL_LNC000190)
Source: RNAcentral
AUGUCUUAAAGUGAUCAUGUUUUGAAUCUAGGAGUAUUGUUUUGUGUUUUGAGGAUGGUUGCGACUUGCGAGAGGUAAACCAUGCUUGUAUCUAUAUUGGUUUCUUUGUUAGGUGUUGGGUCGCGAUCUAUGGUUUUCUGGUUAACCGUGAUGUAUGUCCUUUCUGCUCUGUCGAGGUAUAUGUACGUUUUGUAUGUGUCACGUCUACAAGCUUGUAUGGUUUUGGUUUUCUUUGUUCUGAUUUCGCAUCUAUACUAUUGUUUUUUUCUUGUCAUUUUCUUGAUCGAAUGAUUGACUUAUGUGUUCGUGCUUAUCUGAUUGAUUUUAUAUCGUAUUGAUCUUUUUUUCUACAAGGUCGACUAAUUUGUUUAGAUAUGGUUUUUAGGCAUAGAUAUUUGCUCGGUGUGUGUGUAUCUUUUCUGUUCUACCGAGAUACAUAUUUCCUCUGUAUCACUUUAUGAACUUGUGUGUUGUUUGUUUGUUGUGUUAUGAUUUCUUCUGUUUAGCUAUUAUUUUUAUUACCUUUUUCUGUUUGUAUUGAUCUAUUGAUUUUCUGCUUUGUUGGUUCAUAUCGGUUAUGAAAUAGAUCUUCUGGUUUUCGUUUUUGUCUUCUCUCUUUUGUUUUUAUUCUUUUGGGUUUGCCUUUGUUUUGCUUUUUACACAAAAGAAUCGAUAUGUUAUUCCCUUCUAUAUAUCUUAUUUUUUUUACAUAAUCGUGUUUGUUGUUUUUUAUUUUUUGUAGGUGCUGCUUAUUUGAGACCAUCCACCACCUUGAGGGAAAAGCUAAGGGAAGAUAAAGCAAGCACAAAGUUCAGCCUUCACCCAAAACCACUUCUCUGUUUUUCACUUUGCAUUGGUUCUCUCUCAGAUCCAGUGGUAAUUUCUUUGGAUCUUUAUUACUUAUCUUAUUCUCAUAUAUUCCAAAGCUUUAGUCACUUCAAAAAUCUUGGUUCGCUUGUGCAAAUUUAUGGUUACUAUACUGAAAUGAUAGCAGUUAAAAACUCAUGGCAUCAAACGUUUUUUUUUAGAGAGGAACUA